Boleophthalmus pectinirostris (great blue-spotted mudskipper) is the source of this 2041-nucleotide long non-coding RNA. RefSeq lists it as uncharacterized. The transcript has 4 exons. NCBI's taxonomy places the organism in Eukaryota, Metazoa, Chordata, Actinopteri, Gobiiformes, Gobiidae. The record is from RefSeq and is a predicted model, not a curated record.
UGCUAGGCAUUUGUGACUCACUACACUCAUUGUUCAAGUUGUUGGCAACAACUGUGUAGAAUUUCAGAUCUCUAGGACAAAGGGUUUUGAUGCUGUGAGCCUUUGUGUAAACAAAAUGACAAUUCGGCACAAGAUUGCCAAAUUUGUGCCAAAAUAAUAAUAAUAAUAAAAAAAGAAUAAUAAUAAUAAUUGUUAUUAUUAUAAUACUACUUCUUCUGAGCUUUAGGCAUGUUUUCUCAAGAAAAAAAAACUAAAAGUAGCCAAAAUUGUCUUCCAAGCGUCAGAUCUGUCCACUAUGGCCCCUCCCCCACUGCUUCUCUGUGUCUCUGUUGCUCUUGUAAACACAGCGUCUGUUUCAAAGACUGUCUGCAUGCCCCACCCACCGUUUGAAAGCUCUGGUGAUAGGUUAAAACAAUAUGUCAAUCACUGGAAGAUCCAAUGACUGAAGAGAUUUCCCGUAAACAAACUGAUGACGCGUGCGUAAAGCCAGGAAGUACGUGGGUGCGUUAGCUUCUUCAGCGGCUUGUCCCAGCUAAACCCCGGCACCGACAACAGCGGGGAGGGUCUCAUUUUGAAGCUAAGAGUGUGAGGAAAACAAGCGUACCCAAGAGCGCCAAGAGAAACGGAACUCAGAGAGGGAGAAGGCAACAUAUUUUCAUUCACGCAUUCAUCCAUUCAUACGGACGAGGAUUUUCUGGAUUAUUUACCCACAUGGAAUUAUUUUAUGGAAAAAACAACUUGAUAUUCUUUUUCUGUGGAUUAUUACGGACUUAUUGAGUACAACUUUUCAUGGAUUGAACGCGUGUUGGACCGACAGAACCGGCUCAAAGCUGAGAGAUAUUUGACUUGCAGGAGGAAGCAGAUCCUCAGGAUAGAUUGAAGAUGCUCAUCAGUGAGCCUUGACCUGUAGUUUGAUGGUGCUUUCACACACUUUCACACUGGUGUGAACGCGAACCCGGGUCCAAACCACAGACAGCAGGUCCAAACGAACUAUUCGAAAUGCAUCAUGGGAGAAACGCGUCUCCUUUGCCUGUAAUGACGCUGUACGACUCCAGCGCAGUAACAGAUUGUUGUCCACACACAGCCGCGAUUCAUUUUCGAAUUAUUUUACCAACAAUGGCCAAUACAGAGAAUGUAACACACGAAGAUCAGAGCAAGAACCAAUGUGUGAACGUGUGGCUCCAGAGUGAGUCAAAAAUGGGGGUGUGUACUUCUGUUCAGGACCUGCACAGAGGACCCGGUGUUCCCCGUGAUCAUGUAGGAACCACACUGAAAAAACGGUCCGAGAGGGGUUGCUCAAAUUGCAAAAACAAAUUUGACAACAAUAACAUCACUUUUUUACGUUUCUCUGUCCAGCAUGUUUAAAUCUUACAAACAUCGCUUGAUUGUGGCCGAUGUGAGACCUGCAUGUUUUAAUCAGGUUGAGGAAGCAUGACUAUUAUAAUCUGUGGUGAGGAUCCUUCCUCUGGAAUUCUCCUCCCCAAAACUUUUGGAGGGAAAAUUCAGAUGUAGCAGGACACAGGACAGAUCCAGGAGCAGAGACACACAGUGUGGAGCAGGAGGAUUAUGAAGCUGAUCUGGAGGUGAGACUUUUCAAAGAUUUUAUUAUGUACUUCUCCAGCCUAGAAUGUCUUCACUGUUAAAACAUGUUUGUGGUGUUUUAUUUGAAAUUAGAGUUAAUGUAAGGACAGCUUGAAACAAAUAGUCUUUGACUGUCCAUCUACAAGAGUGUGACACUUGUACUCAGAGUUGAAUGUGUUUGUUCCAGAGUCGUGUACAAACACAGAGACGUCCAGGUUCUGCUGCAGCUGUGGGGAAGUUCAUGAAUGUUAUAGCUGAUGUUUCAGAAAAAAGGAAGAUGUUUGAGAACCAACAAACCACAGAGCACAGAUGAACAAAGGUGAUGUGGCAUUAGGAGACUUUAUACCAGAUGCCCUCCCUGUUACUGUGUUUAGAGGAAGAAAAGCAGCACAUGAGACCAGAGCUUCACUGGAAUAAAUCUUCACACUGUCCAACUCCAAACUGUGUGUCUCUGUCCCUG